Molecule: transfer RNA, 72 nt
Filed under: Drepanopeziza brunnea f. sp. 'multigermtubi' MB_m1
Lineage: Eukaryota; Fungi; Ascomycota; Leotiomycetes; Helotiales; Drepanopezizaceae
Description: tRNA-Thr (TGT) (tRNA-Thr-TGT-1-1)
Rfam family: tRNA
About the family: Transfer RNA (tRNA) molecules are approximately 80 nucleotides in length. Their secondary structure includes four short double-helical elements and three loops (D, anti-codon, and T loops).
Source: RNAcentral
GCCUCUAUAGCUCAGUGGUAGAGCGCAGCACUUGUAAUGCUGAGGUCCGUUGUUCAAUCCAGCGUGGAGGCA